Molecule: ribosomal RNA, 253 nt
Filed under: uncultured bacterium
Lineage: Bacteria
Description: partial 16S ribosomal RNA
Rfam family: Bacterial small subunit ribosomal RNA
Source: RNAcentral
UACAGAGGUCUCAACCGUUGUUCGGAUUUAUUGGGCGUAAAGAGCGUGUAGGCGGCCAGGUAGGUCUGCUGUGAAAACUCGAGGCUCAACCUCGAGACGUCGGCGGAAACCAUCUGGCUAGAGUCCGGAAGAGGAGAGUGGAAUUCCUGGUGUAGCGGUGAAAUGCGCAGAUAUCAGGAAGAACACCCGUGGCGAAGGCGGCUCUCUGGGACGGUACUGACGCUGAGACGCGAAAGCGUGGGGAGCGAACAGG